CCUACGGGGGGCAGCAGUGGGGAAUAUUGGACAAUGGGGGCAACCCUGAUCCAGCCAUGCCGCGUGUGUGAAGAAGGCCCUCGGGUUGUAAAGCACUUUCAGUGAGGAAGAACGCCUGGUGGUUAAUACCCAUCAGGAAAGACAUCACUCACAGAAGAAGCACCGGCUAACUCCGUGCCAGCAGCCGCGGUAAUACGGAGGGUGCGAGCGUUAAUCGGAAUUACUGGGCGUAAAGCGCGCGUAGGUGGCUUGAUAAGCCGGUUGUGAAAGCCCCGGGCUCAACCUGGGAACGGCAUCCGGAACUGUCAAGCUAUAGUGCAGGAGAGGAAGGUAGAAUUCCCGGUGUAGCGGUGAAAUGCGUAGAGAUCGGGAGGAAUACCAGUGGCGAAGGCGGCCUUCUGGACUGACACUGACACUGAGGUGCGAAAGCGUGGGUAGCAAACAGGAUUAGAUACCCUGGUAGUC
RNAcentral lists this ribosomal RNA (465 nucleotides) under Vreelandella stevensii. Its description in RNAcentral is "partial 16S ribosomal RNA". It matches the Rfam family "Bacterial small subunit ribosomal RNA", at positions 338 to 795 of the family's 1533-position model. Lineage: Bacteria; Pseudomonadati; Pseudomonadota; Gammaproteobacteria; Oceanospirillales; Halomonadaceae. The record is from RNAcentral.